GGAUAAAGCAUUAAAAAAAAUCUCUCUUCUCAUGGAGUCUGAAUCUAAAGAGGAUAUGAGGGGCCAUUGAAACCCAUCUGGGUCUCUACUUUGCAUAUCACCCUGAGGAAGUGAGCCACCACUGAGUCUAGCUGGCGAGUAGAAUCUUGCUCCCUGCUGACCUGCUUCCCUGCCACUUGGACCUGCCUAGUGCCAGUUCCUGGAUUCUCUUUAGCCUUGCUUCACCUGCCUGUUAUGAUAUGCUACCUCUUGCUAGUCUACUCUCAUGUGUCCUAGCUGGGUUCACCAUCUGUUGCUCAUUACUGUACUCUCUGGACCUGCUGUCUGCCUCCAUGCAUGUGCACAUUGGCAACUGAAUCCAGAUCUGCCUCUGCAUCUCUACCACCUGCUUCAGCCCUGUGGGAUAUCUUGUUCCAGCUUUCUUCUGAAACUGCCUUACCCUACCUUUUCAGUCUAAUAAGUUUUGAUGAGAUCUUUUAAAUAAUAUGUCAAACCCAUUUCUGUCUCCUUAAACAGUAAACAUAAUGUAAUUGAAAGAGAAAAAAAAUGUUUUCUUAAAGAUGCAGAGGCUGGUGUUGUAAUAUUUUUUUUUUAUCCAGUGGCUAUUGAAAUAUGUUGGAUUUCAAUAAAUGGUCCCAAAUUUUUAGGUUUUGAAGAUAUAUGUGUUGUUAAUAAGGAAGUGUGUGUGUGUGUGUUUGUGCACAAAAUAAGUAUAUAAGCCAUCAAUUUUGCUGUUUCUGGAUUGCCAUGACCUGGAAAACCAAGUUUGUUGAAGUAUUUAUAAUGUAAGAAAAAAAGACUGUUGAUGAACUACUUUUUAAUAAGUUGCUCAAUUAUACAGAAUUCUUUUUUGUUGGCUUCAGUUGUUUAAAGGAUUUUUACACACUAUCAAGUUCCUGGUUACAUUGUGGAUAACUGAUAAUCCUGAGCAAAUGAUACAUUAAUCACUGUAUGCCAGUUUUCCCUGCUCUUUCACCUUCAUUUAUCUUUGAUCUACAAGUGUUUGUUUGUUCCCUGACUGCAAAGAUAUUUUAGCAUGCGUGAAUUGGUAGGAAAAUACACUGUCACACAGACAUUAUUUUACUUCUGCUAAGGCAAACUGUCAAUUGAACAUUUUGUUUAAGUUUCUGUCAUGAGUAAGAUGUUAUUUAAGUGUUACGUGGAUAAAAUUAUGAGAAUAACUUGGUCUUUGUUCACAACCAGUUGACAAUCUAGUAAAUGGAGAAUGCCAGUGGAUAAGAACCUGCAAAAACGCCUUCAGAAUUCAGUUCUAAGAAAGGUCUUAGUUAUUGAGGGAAAUGUAGGAGCCAAAGCAUGGUAUUUGGGAACAUGUAGGAUGUGUUUUAGUAAGCAGCAAAUAUUCUAAUUUGGUUUAGUUCUAGAAAAAAGAAUACUGUGGGAAGAUAUUUUUAAAAAGUGAGUUUAAUUUAAUAGUCAAUGAAGGGCUACUGAAUAGAUCAGUGAAAUGAUCAGAGCUGAGAUUUAGACUUAAAUCUCAGCGUUUCAGAGCUUUAGAUUUAAAUCUGGCAAGUGUAGAGUUGGAGCAAACAAACCAUACAAUUUGGUUUGGACCAAAUGUAUAUUGGAUGAGAUAGUGAAUAAGAGAAAGAGUAUAGUACUAGACACCCAAAUACAAAGGCUGGCACUAUCACUGACUAUAUGACAUGAAUAACUUAAUUUGCAUAAAAUAGCUAUUACAGAUACUAUCCAUAAGCUUCUGUUCUUGAAAGAGGGCAUAGAGUUUAUGUGUAUGUACUACGUCCAAGUAGAUAUUAUCAUAUAUCUAGUGGUCUCCAUGUAACAUAACAGGAUAUGGUGGCAAACACUACAGGCUCUGAAGCCAGACUUCCUGUGUUCAAGUCUAGGCUCUUUCAUUUACUUAAUGUAUAAUCUAGGGCAGUUUAUUUAACCUCUUUUUGCUUUGGUUUCCCUAUCUGUAAAAGGCAGAUAAUAGCACCUAGUGCUAUUAUCCGAGAAUUGUCAUGAGGUUAAUGAAUUAAUAUUUGUAAAGCCCUUAGAAGAGUGCCCGGCACAUGGUAAUGAUUCAAUAAAGAAGAUUAUUAUUAAUUACAGUAAAUAAAAUUAUUACAAUUUUAAAUGUAUCACAAUUAUUCAUAUCACAAUUUUAAGUAUAAUCUUUAACACGUAAGUAGGUAAAACUUCUGAUUUAAUAGCCCAGGGAGUCAGUACUAAUCCUGUUACUAUUUACCAACUUUGUGAAUGUAGUACACUCAGAUUGAUGAAACCAACUCUGUGUUCCAGUGUCAGAGUCCAGCAAGUGAAUUCAUCAUAUUUUUCAAGGCAGUUCAUGGGGUUAUAAAUACUAAGUGAAUAGGAGCAUAAUUAAUUCUUUGGGAAGAACUUGGAGCAUAUCAAGUUUUAAUGUUUAAAAUGUUUAAAAGACUGAUUGUUAGUGCUUUGGGAAUGGAGUAAGCAUAUAACAGAAGUAAGUAAAUAUUUUUCUCAGUGUUGUACUCAUUCAACCAGGAGAGCUUGAAUUAUUAUUAUUGUGAAAAUAAU
Molecule: long non-coding RNA, 2520 nt
Filed under: Homo sapiens (human)
Lineage: Eukaryota; Metazoa; Chordata; Mammalia; Primates; Hominidae
Description: HSALNT0369404
Source: RNAcentral